RNAcentral lists this long non-coding RNA (234 nucleotides) under Cicer arietinum (chickpea). RNAcentral's name for it is "long non-coding RNA (CARI_LNC003719)". Lineage: Eukaryota; Viridiplantae; Streptophyta; Magnoliopsida; Fabales; Fabaceae. The record is from RNAcentral.
CCAAGAUACAUGCCUUGUUGUGCAAUCAAAACACAAUCUAGCCGUAAAUUGAGUGAACUGGUUCUUUGGGGAAAUCAAAAUGGCUCCAAUUCCAUGCCCCAAUGCAUUAGAAGCACCAUCAAACACCAAAGUCCAUUUUUAUUUAUUAGAUGAUUCAGUCUCUUCAAAUAAAGUCAUUAUACCUUCAUCGGGGAAUUCACACGUCAUUGAUUGAUAAUCUUCUACAUGUUGUUG